GUGCCAGCAGCCGCGGUAAUACGGGGGGUGCAAGCGUUGUUCGGAAUCAUUGGGCGUAAAGCGCGCGCAGGCGGCUUGGUAAGUCAGAUGUGAAAUCCCUGGGCUUAACCCAGGAAGUGCAUUUGAUACUGCCUCGCUAGAGUACGGGAGAGGAAAGUGGAAUUCCUGGUGUAGAGGUGAAAUUCGUAGAUAUCAGGAGGAACACCGGUGGCGAAGGCGACUUUCUGGCCCGAUACUGACGCUCAGGCGCGAAAGCGUGGGGAGCAAACAGGAUUAGAAACCCCUGUAGUCC
Molecule: ribosomal RNA, 292 nt
Filed under: uncultured bacterium
Lineage: Bacteria
Description: partial 16S ribosomal RNA
Rfam family: Bacterial small subunit ribosomal RNA
Source: RNAcentral